ACAUCCAGCGAACUUGGCAGAGAUGCCUUGGUGCCUUCGGGAACGCUGAGACAGGUGCUGCAUGGCUGUCGUCAGCUCGUGUUGUGAAAUGUUGGGUUAAGUCCCGCAACGAGCGCAACCCUUAUCCUUUGUUGCCAGCGAUUCGGUCGGGAACUCAAAGGAGACUGCCGGUGAUAAACCGGAGGAAGGUGGGAUGACGUCAAGUCAUCAUGGCCCUUACGAGUAGGGCUACACACGUGCUACAAUGGCGCAUACAAAGAGAAGCGACCUCGCGAGAGCAAGCGGACCUCAUAAAGUGCGUCGUAGUCCGGAUCGGAGUCUGCAACUCGACUCCGUGAAGUCGGAAUCGCUAGUAAUCGUGGAUCAGAAUGCCACGGUGAAUACGUUCCCGGGCCUUGUACACACCGCCCGUCACACCAUGGGAGUGGGUUGCAAAAGAAGUAGGUAGCUUAACCUUCGGGAGGGCGCUUACCACUUUGUGAUUCAUGACUGGGGUGAAGUCGUAACAAGGUAAGCGUAGCGAG
Molecule: ribosomal RNA, 524 nt
Filed under: uncultured bacterium
Lineage: Bacteria
Description: bacterial SSU rRNA
Rfam family: Bacterial small subunit ribosomal RNA
Source: RNAcentral